This 467-nucleotide ribosomal RNA is filed under the name uncultured bacterium. RNAcentral's name for it is "partial 16S ribosomal RNA". It matches the Rfam family "Bacterial small subunit ribosomal RNA", at positions 29 to 507 of the family's 1533-position model. The record is from RNAcentral.
ACGAACGCUGGCGGCGUGCUUAACACAUGCAAGUCGAACGGAAAGGCCCUGCUUUUGUGGGGUGCUCGAGUGGCGAACGGGUGAGUAACACGUGAGUAACCUGCCCUUGACUUUGGGAUAACUUCGGGAAACUGGGGCUAAUACCGGAUAGGAGCUCCUGCCGCAUGGUGGGGGUUGGAAAGUUUCGGCGGUUGGGGAUGGACUCGCGGCUUAUCAGCUUGUUGGUGGGGUAGUGGCUUACCAAGGCUUUGACGGGUAGCCGGCCUGAGAGGGUGACCGGCCACAUUGGGACUGAGAUACGGCCCAGACUCCUACGGGAGGCAGCAGUGGGGAAUAUUGCACAAUGGGCGGAAGCCUGAUGCAGCAACGCCGCGUGCGGGAUGACGGCCUUCGGGUUGUAAACCGCUUUCGCCUGUGACGAAGCGUGAGUGACGGUAAUGGGUAAAGAAGCACCGGCUAACUACGUG